Long non-coding RNA from Strigops habroptila (Kakapo), 527 nucleotides. RefSeq lists it as uncharacterized. The transcript is spliced from 3 exons. NCBI's taxonomy places the organism in Eukaryota, Metazoa, Chordata, Aves, Psittaciformes, Psittacidae. The record is from RefSeq and is a predicted model, not a curated record.
UGCUGUGAGUUCCUUCCUCCUGCUGUGCGUCUGACUGUGGUGUGGGCUGUUAACAAUGUCCUAACCUUCAGUUACUCUGAAUUUAAGGAAAUGAAUGUUCCCCACGUGCGCUGGUAGUGUUUCAGAGGUGGAGGAGAGCAGAGUGCUUUAUUUCUUCCGAUGGAGCUGCUCAGCCCAGAGGAUGCCCUUCUUCUUGAAAAGGGCAUUUCAGAGCUCCCGGCCAUUAUUGCAGCAUCUGAAGGAAGCACAGAAGAGACUUUUAUGUGGAGCUACAAACCAGCCGGUCACCUGGAGUGUGUAGGGGUUGUGUUUUGGAAUCCAAGUAAACAGAGUGUGGGAUUCUGUUGCUCAUGUGUGGCUACAGGAAAAGCUCUGAUUAAUUCCCAUUUAGCCUAACACAAGAUGAAAGACAAGGACUCCGUAUAGUAAGGGCUCAGGGGCUGGAAGCACUCUCCGGCUUUUCAACCCCAUUUCUCAUGGUGGCUGUGGCAUCAGCAUCUGCAGGAAUUCCAGCAGUCACUCCAAAC